Molecule: non-coding RNA, 83 nt
Filed under: Virgibacillus salinus
Lineage: Bacteria; Bacillati; Bacillota; Bacilli; Caryophanales; Bacillaceae
Description: c-di-GMP-I riboswitch aptamer
Rfam family: c-di-GMP-I riboswitch aptamer
About the family: GEMM was predicted in a large-scale screen for bacterial structured RNA regulatory elements. Genes associated with GEMM are involved in a diverse array of functions, including chemotaxis regulation, signal transduction, secretion and chitin.
Source: Rfam by way of RNAcentral
CUCUGACAAUAGCAAAUUCAUUGAAAAAUGAAGACGCAAAACUACGGACCUAAGGCAUUAGCUAAGGCUGCCGAGUUACCGAA